This 21-nucleotide non-coding RNA is filed under the name Caenorhabditis elegans. Lineage: Eukaryota; Metazoa; Nematoda; Chromadorea; Rhabditida; Rhabditidae. The record is from RNAcentral.
UGGGUUGCCUUUUAAUUUACA